RNAcentral lists this ribosomal RNA (266 nucleotides) under uncultured bacterium. RNAcentral's name for it is "partial 16S ribosomal RNA". It matches the Rfam family "Bacterial small subunit ribosomal RNA", at positions 793 to 1055 of the family's 1533-position model. The record is from RNAcentral.
GUCCACGCUGUAAACGAUGGAUACUAGGUGUGGGGGACUGACCCCUUCCGUGCCGCAGUUAACACAAUAAGUAUCCCACCUGGGGAGUACGAUCGCAAAGGUUGAAACUCAAAAGGAAUUGACGGGGGCCCGCACAAGCGGUGGAGUAUGUGGUUUAAUUCGAAGCAACGCGAAGAACCUUACCAGGGCUUGACAUCCCACGGCUGGAAUUAGAGAUAGUUCUUUCUCUUCGGAGACUGUGGAGACAGGUGGUGCAUGGUUGUCGU